GAUGAACGCUGGCGGCGUGCUUAACACAUGCAAGUCGAACGGUGAAGCCAAGCUUGCUUGGUGGAUCAGUGGCGAACGGGUGAUUAACACGUGAGCAACCUGCCCUGGACUCUGGGAUAAGCGCUGGAAACGGCGUCUAAUACUGGAUAUGAGCCUCUUCCGCAUGGUGGGGGUUGGAAAGAUUUUUUGGUCUGGGAUGGGCUCGCGGCCUAUCAGCUUGUUGGUGAGGUAAUGGCUCACCAAGGCGUCGACGGGUAGCCGGCCUGAGAGGGUGACCGGCCACACUGGGACUGAGACACGGCCCAGACUCCUACGGGAGGCAGCAGUGGGGAAUAUUGCACAAUGGGCGAAAGCCUGAUGCAGCAACGCCGCGUGAGGGAUGACGGCCUUCGGGUUGUAAACCUCUUUUAGCAGGGAAGAAGCGAAAGUGACGGUACCUGCAGAAAAAGCGCCGGCUAACUACGUG
Molecule: ribosomal RNA, 466 nt
Filed under: uncultured bacterium
Lineage: Bacteria
Description: partial 16S ribosomal RNA
Rfam family: Bacterial small subunit ribosomal RNA
Source: RNAcentral